GAUGAACGCUGGCGGCGUGCCUAAUACAUGCAAGUCGAGCGAACAGACGAGGAGCUUGCUCCUCUGACGUUAGCGGCGGACGGGUGAGUAACACGUGGAUAACCUACCUAUAAGACUGGGAUAACUUCGGGAAACCGGAGCUAAUACCGGAUAAUAUAUUGAACCGCAUGGUUCAAUAGUGAAAGACGGUUUUGCUGUCACUUAUAGAUGGAUCCGCGCCGCAUUAGCUAGUUGGUAAGGUAACGGCUUACCAAGGCAACGAAGCGUAGCCAACCUGAGAGGGGGAUCGGCCACACUAGAAACGGAACACCGUCCAGGCUCCUUAGGGAGGCAACCGUAGGGAACCUUCCCACAAGGGUGGAAACCUGACGGAGCCACGGCGCGUUAGUUAAGAAGGUCUUCCGAUCGUAAAACUUUGUUAUUAGGUAAGAACAAAUUUUGAAGUAACUGAUCCCGUUUUGACGGUAACGUAUCAGAAAGCCCCGGCUAAACACGUG
This 497-nucleotide ribosomal RNA is filed under the name uncultured bacterium. RNAcentral describes it as "partial 16S ribosomal RNA". It matches the Rfam family "Bacterial small subunit ribosomal RNA", at positions 28 to 507 of the family's 1533-position model. The record is from RNAcentral.